Molecule: ribosomal RNA, 386 nt
Filed under: uncultured archaeon
Lineage: Archaea
Description: bacterial SSU rRNA
Rfam family: Archaeal small subunit ribosomal RNA
Source: RNAcentral
AAGGGCUGGGCAAGACCGGUGCCAGCCGCCGCGGUAAUACCGGCAGCCCAAGUGAUGGCCGAUAUUAUUGGGCCUAAAGCGUCCGUAGCUGGCCGGACAAGUCCGUUGGGAAAUCCGCACGCUUAACGCGCGGGCGUCCAGCGGAAACUGUCCGGCUUGGGACCGGAAGACCCGAGGGGUACGUCCGGGGUAGGAGUGAAAUCCUGUAAUCUCGGACGGGCCACCUGUGGCGAAAGCGCCUCGGGAAGACGGAUCCGACAGUGAGGGACGAAAGCCAGGGUCUCGAACCGGAUUAGAUACCCGGGUAGUCCUGGCCGUAAACGAUGUCCGCUAGGUGUGACGCAGGCUACGAGCCUGCGCUGUGCCGUAGGGAAGCCGUGAAGCGG